Long non-coding RNA from Myotis myotis, 293 nucleotides. RefSeq lists it as uncharacterized. The transcript is spliced from 3 exons. Lineage: Eukaryota; Metazoa; Chordata; Mammalia; Chiroptera; Vespertilionidae. The record is from RefSeq and is a predicted model, not a curated record.
AGAGUGAUUAAGAAUACAUGCUCUGAAGCAACACUGAAUGUGAAUUUCUACUCUAUCACCUGCUAGAUUUGUGAACGUGGAUUUUAAAAAGAACAUUUGACCUGAUGUCAGCAACAAUAUUAGAGGUUCUGAAGGAAAAGAAUAAAUCUAAAUCUAAGGGUAAUAAAGAGAGGUUAUGGUAAAGACAGUAUUUGAGUUGUAUUUAAAUGUAUGAAAAUAUUUCAGUAUUCGGAAUUGUAUACAAAAGGGCACUUUAGAUGAAGAGACUACCAGCCACCAUCAAUGAAGUCACA